AGCGUAGGUUGACAUAUAAGUCAGCUGUGAAAGUUUACGGCUCAACCGUGAAAUUGCAGUUGAUACUGUAUGUCUUGAGUGUACAAGAGGUGGGCGGAAUUCGUGGUGUAGCGGUGAAAUGCUUAGAUAUCACGAAGAACUCCAAUUGCGAGGGCAGCUCACUGGGGUACAACUGACACUGAGGCUCGAAAGUGUGGGUAUCAAACA
RNAcentral lists this ribosomal RNA (207 nucleotides) under uncultured Bacteroides sp. Its description in RNAcentral is "partial 16S ribosomal RNA". It matches the Rfam family "Bacterial small subunit ribosomal RNA", at positions 568 to 774 of the family's 1533-position model. The record is from RNAcentral. Lineage: Bacteria; Pseudomonadati; Bacteroidota; Bacteroidia; Bacteroidales; Bacteroidaceae.